CGGAACGGGUGAGUAACGCGUGAGUAACCUGCCCUGGAGUGGGGGGAAACAGUUGGAAACGACUGCUAAUACCGCAUAAGCCCACGAUCCGGCAUCGGAUUGAGGGAGAAGGAUUUAUUCGCUUCAGGAUGGACUCGCGUCCAAUUAGCUAGUUGGUGAGGUAACGGCCCACCAAGGCGACGAUUGGUAGCCGGACUGAGAGGUUGAACGGCCACAUUGGGACUGAGACACGGCCCAG
This 238-nucleotide ribosomal RNA is filed under the name uncultured bacterium. RNAcentral's name for it is "partial 16S ribosomal RNA". It matches the Rfam family "Bacterial small subunit ribosomal RNA", at positions 100 to 334 of the family's 1533-position model. The record is from RNAcentral.